RNAcentral lists this long non-coding RNA (239 nucleotides) under Elaeis guineensis (African oil palm). RNAcentral's name for it is "long non-coding RNA (EGUI_LNC040603)". The record is from RNAcentral. Lineage: Eukaryota; Viridiplantae; Streptophyta; Magnoliopsida; Arecales; Arecaceae.
GUGUGACUGAUUGUUAGUCUCAAUGCGGGAUGGUCAUUGACCGAUACACCCUAUGAUCAGCCCUUAACAUAGAUUACAUAUGGCUAAUCUGUGAAUCCUACUUGAAUUAACGAUUCUUAAUCGAUCAAGCAUACCAAAACAUAAGAAAAAGUUUGCUUUUUCAAUCAAAGAUAAGUUUUCACAAAGACAAUACGUCAAGCAUUACAUAGAUGAUAAUGAAGCAGUGAUACAUGAUGGAA